RNAcentral lists this ribosomal RNA (607 nucleotides) under uncultured bacterium. RNAcentral describes it as "bacterial SSU rRNA". It matches the Rfam family "Bacterial small subunit ribosomal RNA", at positions 331 to 929 of the family's 1533-position model. The record is from RNAcentral.
CCAGACUCCUACGGGAGGCAGCAGUGGGGAAUCUUCCGCAAUGGACGAAAGUCUGACGGAGCAACGCCGCGUGAGUGAUGACGGCCUUCGGGUUGUAAAGCUCUGUUAAUCGGGACGAAAGGCCUUCUUGCGAAUAGUGAGAAGGAUUGACGGUACCGGAAUAGAAAGCCACGGCUAACUACGUGCCAGCAGCCGCGGUAAUACGUAGGUGGCAAGCGUUGUCCGGAAUUAUUGGGCGUAAAGCGCGCGCAGGCGGAUAGGUCAGUCUGUCUUAAAAGUUCGGGGCUUAACCCCGUGAUGGGAUGGAAACUGCCAAUCUAGAGUAUCGGAGAGGAAAGUGGAAUUCCUAGUGUAGCGGUGAAAUGCGUAGAUAUUAGGAAGAACACCAGUGGCGAAGGCGACUUUCUGGACGAAAACUGACGCUGAGGCGCGAAAGCCAGGGGAGCGAACGGGAUUAGAUACCCCGGUAGUCCUGGCCGUAAACGAUGGGUACUAGGUGUAGGAGGUAUCGACCCCUUCUGUGCCGGAGUUAACGCAAUAAGUACCCCGCCUGGGGAGUACGACCGCAAGGUUGAAACUCAAAGGAAUUGACGGGGGCCCGCACAAG